UUGGAGGGCAAGUCUGGUGCCCGCAGCCGCGGUAAUUCCAGCUCCAAUAGCGUAUAUUAAAGUUGUUGCAGUUAAAAAGCUCGUAGUUGAACUUCGGGGUUUACCCAUUGGUCAGGCUUAAUUGUCUGUACUGGUGAGAUGAAUCUCUACCUUCUGAGGAACUUUCAUGCCAUUUAUUUGGUGUGAUGGGAAAUCAGGACUGUUACUUUGAAAAAAUUAGAGUGUUUAAAGCAGGCUAACGUCUGAAUACAUUAGCAUGGAAUAAUAAAAUAGGACGGUGGUCCUGUUUUGUUGGUUUCUGAAUCACCGUAAUGAUUAAUAGGGAUAGUUGGGGGCAUUAGUAUUCAAUUGUCAGAGGUGAAAUUCUUGGAUUUAUUGAAGACUAACUUCUGCGAAAGCAUUUGCCAAGGAUGUUUUCAUUAAUCAAGAACGAAAGUUAGGGGAUCGAAGACGAUCAGAUACCGUCGUAGUCUUAACCAUAAACUAUGCCGACUAGGGAUCGGACGAUGUUAAAUUUUAUUGACUCGUUCGGCGCCUUACGGGAAAC
Molecule: ribosomal RNA, 547 nt
Filed under: uncultured Diversispora
Lineage: Eukaryota; Fungi; Glomeromycota; Glomeromycetes; Diversisporales; Diversisporaceae
Description: SSU rRNA
Rfam family: Eukaryotic small subunit ribosomal RNA
Source: RNAcentral